This is a non-coding RNA of Myotis brandtii (Brandt's bat), 85 nucleotides long. NCBI's taxonomy places the organism in Eukaryota, Metazoa, Chordata, Mammalia, Chiroptera, Vespertilionidae. The record is from Rfam.
AGGACUGCAGAGAGAGAGAGGCAGGGUUUGAUCUGCAGCCUCAGUGGCAGCUAUUGAUCAGCCGUUGCCUCUCUCUUUCUCUAGG